AAAAGAUGACGGUUAAGACCUCGUCUGUUCUUUCUUACCCAGUGUUUGUGAGAAUUAGGCGGGGCCUUGCCGUGAUUGAUGAAUGCUACCUGGUUGAUCCUGCCAGUAGUCAUAUGCUUGUCUUAAAGAUUAAGCCAUGCAUGUGUAAGUAUGAACGAAUUCAGA
Molecule: ribosomal RNA, 165 nt
Filed under: Eutrema penlandii
Lineage: Eukaryota; Viridiplantae; Streptophyta; Magnoliopsida; Brassicales; Brassicaceae
Description: partial 18S ribosomal RNA
Rfam family: Eukaryotic small subunit ribosomal RNA (bases 87-165)
Source: RNAcentral